Molecule: ribosomal RNA, 254 nt
Filed under: uncultured bacterium
Lineage: Bacteria
Description: partial 16S ribosomal RNA
Rfam family: Bacterial small subunit ribosomal RNA
Source: RNAcentral
GACGAACCGUGCGAACGUUAUUCGGAAUCACUGGGCUUAAAGCGCGUGUAGGCGGGCCGCCGCGUCGGCUGCUGAAAUCCCCCGGCUCAACCGGGGAACGGGCACCGAUACGGGCGGCCUCGAGGGGAGUAGGGGGGCCUGGAACUUCCGGUGGAGCGGUGAAAUGCGUUGAGAUCGGAAGGAACGCCCGUGGCGAAAGCGAGGCCCUGGACCCUUACUGACGCUGAGACGCGAAAGCCAGGGGAGCGAACGGG